GACAUGGUGUUGCACAAUUUCAACUUCCAGGAAGGCUGAGGCUGGGGGAUCCCUUGAGUCAGCAAGUUCUAAAGUGUAGUGGGCCACUUGGGUGUCCACACUAAUUUCAGCAUCAAUACGGUGAGCCUCUGGGAUCAUAGGUCAGUGGGAUUGCCUAAAGAAGGACAAAGUGGCCCAGGUUAGAAAUGGAGCAGGUCAGAGUUCCUCUUGCCUAUCAGUAGUGAGACUUGGUCUUUAAGUAUGCCUUUCACUUUCAGCCUGGGAAGAUGAAAGGACCUAGUCUUA
This 285-nucleotide non-coding RNA is filed under the name Phascolarctos cinereus (koala). Lineage: Eukaryota; Metazoa; Chordata; Mammalia; Diprotodontia; Phascolarctidae. The record is from RNAcentral.